UACGUAGGGUGCGAGCGUUGUCCGGAAUUAUUGGGCGUAAAGGGCUCGUAGGCGGUCUGUCACGUCGGGAGUGAAAACACGGGGCUUAACCCCGUGCCUGCUUCCGAUACGGGCAGACUAGAGGUAUGCAGGGGAGAGCGGAAUUCCUGGUGUAGCGGUGAAAUGCGCAGAUAUCAGGAGGAACACCAAUGGCGAAGGCAGCUCGCUGGGACGGUACUGACGCUGAGGCGCGAAAGCGUGGGGAGCAAACAGGAUUAGAACUACCGAGUCAGUC
This 274-nucleotide ribosomal RNA is filed under the name uncultured bacterium. Its description in RNAcentral is "partial 16S ribosomal RNA". It matches the Rfam family "Bacterial small subunit ribosomal RNA", at positions 524 to 795 of the family's 1533-position model. The record is from RNAcentral.